UUGCAAGUAGCUGUUUUGAGCUAUUGACCUCUUCUUUUGGGUGGGGUUCGCAAGAAGCAACUUAUGAGUGUAUGGAGUGACUAUUGCCUCAUCCAUCAAAUCCUCAAAAAUCGUAGCUGCUAGUCCAUAUACUUGUGAGUGGGAUAAGUUUUAUCCAUUGUUUAAGCAGUCAAACUGAAAUAGCUUCAUGAGAAUUAUCUAGUUCUUUAUUGUUUUGCAAUUUUGGGGAGGUCUUUUUGAAAGACUAACGCCAAGAAUGACAUUGAUGCAAGUUGUUUUUGGCAUAUUCUUGUUUUCAUCUCGAGCAAACUAAUAUCUGGUAGUUUGUUUAGCCUUGGUUGUGUGUGUGUGUAUUGAUUUCCGAGUAUGGGUGAAGGGGAGUUGCCAGAUCUUGCUUUUGUGUCUCUAUGGAUUUCCUAUCAUUUGUCUCCUGAUAGAUUAUUCUUUUAAUUUUUUGCCAUUGAAUGGAUGGUAAUUGUUCUGUUAAUCAUUUAACAGGUUUGCCUUAUCAAAAACUUUGAUGUUUACUCGCAAACUACCCUUAAUUUUAUGCAACUAUUUUGGUAUAUUUGAUAUCACCUAGACUUUUUAUGUCAUAAACUUGCUUUGUUGGAGUAUUGUCAUUUAACACCAUAGAGAAUGGAUUAUCUGAAGCUUUUUCUAAAUACAGCAAGUUGUUGAAGGUACCCUGAGAUUAGAUUACUGCAAUAUUUUUGAACUAACUUAUCAUAGAAAUAUUUUAUCAACUAGAGUUCUGCUCUUUUUGUUUUUCUGCAGUAAAAAUUGGAAGUGACAGAGUCACUGACAAAUCAAAAGGUUCCAGAUUUGUAACUUUUGAAUCUGAAGGUGAAGCACACACAGCUCUAACUGAGAUGAAUGGAAAGGUAAAUCACAAUUCUUCUCUUGUUUUGAUUUGACCAUGUUUAACUCAAAAGACCAGAAAUAACAAGUUGUCUGGCAGACACUGAAUGGAAGAAUUAUUUUCGUGAAUUAUGCAAAGCCUAUCUUAGAUUUGGUGAAGGAAUGCCUAUUGCUAGGGGGCCUCCUGAACCAUUUGAGAGUUGAACAAUGAUAUAUAAGCCUCAAGGACACUUGCAGAAAAAUCAAAUGCUCUGAAACCAACUCUCAGUUAAAAGCUUGUCCCCAUAUUCUAUCUUUUGUGCACAUGGGUAAAUUGAUCAUAAUAUGUUACACCAGAAUCUUGUGAUUUUAGAAUCCAGUGGCCAGUGGAUUACCAGUUGAAGACAAAACAGUGCUAGAUCUAGUUGUGUAAAGGUGGUGUUUUUAGACUUUUAAUGAGUUCCAGAUGUUAAUUGCUUAUUUUGAGAACCUUGAUAUUAUGAAUGCUAGUUAAGAUCUCUGAGGCCUGCCAAGAAUCACCAAAGAAAUUCUUCCCAGCAUUUUUGGAUACUGGAACAUUUAUUAUGACUUUCCG
Molecule: unclassified non-coding RNA, 1435 nt
Filed under: Hevea brasiliensis (rubber tree)
Lineage: Eukaryota; Viridiplantae; Streptophyta; Magnoliopsida; Malpighiales; Euphorbiaceae
Source: RNAcentral